RNAcentral lists this ribosomal RNA (630 nucleotides) under uncultured bacterium. RNAcentral describes it as "bacterial SSU rRNA". It matches the Rfam family "Bacterial small subunit ribosomal RNA", at positions 554 to 1185 of the family's 1533-position model. The record is from RNAcentral.
UUGGGCGUAAGAGCUCGUAGGCGGUCUGUCGCGUCUGCUGUGAAAACCCGAGGCUCAACCUCGGGCCUGCAGUGGGUACGGGCAGACUAGAGUGCGGUAGGGGAGAUUGGAAUUCCUGGUGUAGCGGUGGAAUGCGCAGAUAUCAGGAGGAACACCGAUGGCGAAGGCAGAUCUCUGGGCCGUAACUGACGCUGAGGAGCGAAAGGGUGGGGAGCAAACAGGCUUAGAUACCCUGGUAGUCCACCCCGUAAACGUUGGGAACUAGUUGUGGGGUCCAUUCCACGGAUUCCGUGACGCAGCUAACGCAUUAAGUUCCCCGCCUGGGGAGUACGGCCGCAAGGCUAAAACUCAAAGGAAUUGACGGGGACCCGCACAAGCGGCGGAGCAUGCGGAUUAAUUCGAUGCAACGCGAAGAACCUUACCAAGGCUUGACAUAUAGAGGAAACGUCUGGAAACAGUCGCCCCGCAAGGUCUCUAUACAGGUGGUGCAUGGUUGUCGUCAGCUCGUGUCGUGAGAUGUUGGGUUAAGUCCCGCAACGAGCGCAACCCUCGUUCUAUGUUGCCAGCACGUAAUGGUGGGAACUCAUGGGAUACUGCCGGGGUCAACUCGGAGGAAGGUGGGGAUGACGU